Molecule: non-coding RNA, 66 nt
Filed under: Negativicutes bacterium
Lineage: Bacteria; Bacillati; Bacillota; Negativicutes
Source: RNAcentral
AGUCGAAACCGGCUACAAAGCCGGUCUGCAGGAAGUGGCCUCCCUGUACUGAUGAGACAGGCCGAA